AGCUUGCCAAUGAUGUCACAAAAUAAAUGUCUGAACUGAUGAUAUCACAGUGAUUUUUUUUAUUUUUAACAUCUUUACUAAAGCAAGCU
This 89-nucleotide small nucleolar RNA is filed under the name Salmo salar (Atlantic salmon). RNAcentral's name for it is "Small nucleolar RNA SNORD72 (ENSSSAG00000003234.2, ENSSSAG00020082299.1, ENSSSAG00070037446.1, ENSSSAG00075060675.1)". It matches the Rfam family "Small nucleolar RNA SNORD72". From Rfam's summary of the family: snoRNA HBII-240 belongs to the CD family of snoRNAs. It is the human orthologue of the mouse MBII-240 and is predicted to guide 2'O-ribose methylation of the large 28S rRNA at residue U4590. The record is from Rfam by way of RNAcentral. Lineage: Eukaryota; Metazoa; Chordata; Actinopteri; Salmoniformes; Salmonidae.